AGAGAAAUAUAUUUAAAAUAAUCAUAUAAACAAGAACUAAAAAUAACACCUUUUGUAUUAGGUAUAUUCUAGCUAAAUUAAAAAUAUCACCCCGAAUUUAAAAGAGACAAAAAUUUAGCAUAAAUUAAUAAAAUUAUUAUACUGAAUUUUUAAGAAAAUAUUUCCUACCUUUAAUAAGCUGGAGAAUUCAAAUUAAAGCUGUAAAAAAGUUACAACUAAGAUUUAAAAAAAAGAAAAAAAAAUAUAAUGAAUCAAAAUGUUUUAUCAUGAUAAUUUCCGCUAGUUUUAAGAAAUCUAAUAAUUAUUCAAUUAAAUAGACUAUAAUAAAUAUAUCAGUAAAUAAAAUAAAACUCUUAUAUAAAUUUAGCGUAAAGAAAAUUUAAAAACUUAAAAUAAAGAACUCGGCAAAAAAGAUAAAAAAUGUUUAUCAAAAACAUUUCUUUUUAAACAAAAAGUAAUCUCUGCCAAUUGAUUGAAAUUAAAAGGCCGUUUCACGCUAAGGUAGCGUAAUCAAAAGUCUAUUAAUUGUAGACCUGUAUGAAAGAGAAAAUUAUUAUCUUUCUUUCUUUUUUCAAUGCUUGAAAUUAAUGCGUUAAAAAAAUAAACGUUGUACUGCAAGACGAGAAGACCCUGGAAGCUAACUGUAAUUUACAGUUUUUUGGGGAAAAAUAAAUUUUAACUAUUGAAUUUUAUGAAGAUGGAAAAACUUAAAAAAUAAGCUACCCCAGGGAUAACAGAGCAAUUAAUUUUUUUAGGUCUUAUAUAAAAAUUAGAUUGUGACCUCGAUGUUGGAUUCUAAAAACUAAAAGAUCGCAGUAGAUCUAAAAGUGAAACUGUUCGUUUUUUAAAUUUAGACUUGAUCUGAGUUCAGAUCGGCGUAAGCCAGAUCGGAUUUUAUCUGCAGAUAAAUUUUUAUUAUAACAGUACGAAAGGACAUUAUGAAUUUUAUGUUUUCUUACAGCUUACUAAAUCAUUAGUGGUAUCCCCCCCUCCCUGAAAUGUAAGACUUUAAAGUUUUU
This 1019-nucleotide ribosomal RNA is filed under the name Rhinotergum shaoguanense. RNAcentral describes it as "16S ribosomal RNA". The stretch from base 613 to 904 matches the Rfam family "Archaeal large subunit ribosomal RNA", at positions 2150 to 2716 of the family's 2987-position model. Lineage: Eukaryota; Metazoa; Arthropoda; Arachnida; Trombidiformes; Diptilomiopidae. The record is from RNAcentral.